Molecule: ribosomal RNA, 406 nt
Filed under: uncultured bacterium
Lineage: Bacteria
Description: partial 16S ribosomal RNA
Rfam family: Bacterial small subunit ribosomal RNA
Source: RNAcentral
AUUGAACGCUGGCGGCAGGCCUAACACAUGCAAGUCGAACGAGUGGCGGACGGGUGAGUAAUGUCUGGGAAACUGCCUGCUGGAGGGGGAUAACUACUGGAAACGGUAGCUAAUACCGCAUACCAUCGGAUGUGCCCAGAUGGGAUUAGCUAGUAGGUGGGGUAACGGCUCACCUAGGAGACGAUCCCUAGCUGGUCUGAGAGGAUGACCGGCCACACUGGAACGUAGACACGGUCCAGACUCCUACGGGAGGCAGCAGUGGGGAAGAUUGCAAAAUGGGCGCAAGCCUGAUGCAGCCAUGCCGCGUGGAUGAAGAAGGCCUUCGGGUUGUAAAGUACUUUCAGCGGGGAGGCGUUACCCGCAGAAGAAGCACCGGCUAACUCCGUGCCAGCAGCCGCGGUAAUAC